Molecule: ribosomal RNA, 458 nt
Filed under: uncultured bacterium
Lineage: Bacteria
Description: partial 16S ribosomal RNA
Rfam family: Bacterial small subunit ribosomal RNA
Source: RNAcentral
CCUACGGGUGGCAGCAGUGAGGAAUAUUGGUCAAUGGCCGGGAGGCUGAACCAGCCAAGUCGCGUGAGGGAAGACGGCCUACGGGUUGUAAACCUCUUUUGUCAGGGAGCAAGGUGCAGGUCCGGACCUGCUGUGAGAGUACCUGAAGAAAAAGCAUCGGCUAACUCCGUGCCAGCAGACGCGGUAAUACGGAGGAUGCGCGCGUUUUCCGGUUUUAUUGGGUUUAAAGGGGUCGCAGGCGGAGGCACAAAUCCGCGGUAAAAUCGCGGGGCUCAACCCCGCGCCGCCGUUGAAACUGUGUCCCUUGAGUGCGCGAAGGGUAGGCGGAAUGCGUGGUGUAGCGGUGAAAUGCAUAGAUAUCACGCAGAACUCCGAUCGCGAAGGCAGCCUACCGGUGCACAACUGACGCUCAGGCACGAAAGCGUGGGUAUCGAACAGGAUUAGAUACCCUAGUAGUU